AGACCCGAAACCCGGUGAUCUAGCCAUGGGCAGGUUGAAGGUUGGGUAACACUAACUGGAGGACCGAACCGACUAAUGUUGAAAAAUUAGCGGAUGACCUGUGGCUGGGGGUGAAAGGCCAAUCAAACCGGGAGAUAGCUGGUUCUCCCCGAAAGCUAUUUAGGUAGCGCCUCGUGAAUUCAUCUCCGGGGGUAGAGCACUGUUUCGGCUAGGGGGCCAUCCCGGCUUACCAACCCGAUGCAAACUGCGAAUACCGGAGAAUGUUAUCACGGGAGACACACGGCGGGUGCUAACGUCCGUCGUGAAGAGGGAAACAACCCAGACCGCCAGCUAAGGUCCCAAAGUCAUGGUUAAGUGGGAAACGAUGUGGGAAGGCCCAGACAGCCAGGAUGUUGGCUUAGAAGCAGCCAUCAUUUAAAGAAAGCGUAAUAGCUCACUGGUCGAGUCGGCCUGCGCGGAAGAUGUAACGGGGCUAAACCAUGCACCGAAGCUGCGGCAGCGACACUCAGGUGUUGUUGGGUAGGGGAGCGUUCUGUAAGCCUGUGAAGGUGUGUCGUGAGGCAUGCUGGAGGUAUCAGAAGUGCGAAUGCUGACAUAAGUAACGAUAAAGCGGGUGAAAAGCCCGCUCGCCGGAAGACCAAGGGUUCCUGUCCAACGUUAAUCGGGGCAGGGUGAGUCGACCCCUAAGGCGAGGCCGAAAGGCGUAGUCGAUGGGAAACGGGUUAAUAUUCCCGUACUUGGUGUUACUGCGAAGGGGGGACGGAGAAGGCUAUGUUGGCCGGGCGACGGUUGUCCCGGUUUAAGCGUGUAGGUGUGUGUUCCAGGUAAAUCCGGUUCACUUUAACACUGAGGCGUGAUGACGAGGCACUACGGUGCUGAAGCAACAAAUGCCCUGCUUCCAGGAAAAGCCUCUAAGCAUCAGGUAACAUCAAAUCGUACCCCAAACCGACACAGGUGGUCAGGUAGAGAAUACCAAGGCGCUUGAGAGAACUCGGGUGAAGGAACUAGGCAAAAUGGUGCCGUAACUUCGGGAGAAGGCACGCUGACACGUAGGUGAAGUGAUUUACUCAUGGAGCUGAAGUCAGUCGAAGAUACCAGCUGGCUGCAACUGUUUAUUAAAAACACAGCACUGUGCAAACACGAAAGUGGACGUAUACGGUGUGACGCCUGCCCGGUGCCGGAAGGUUAAUUGAUGGGGUCAGCGCAAGCGAAGCUCCUGAUCGAAGCCCCGGUAAACGGCGGCCGUAACUAUAACGGUCCUAAGGUAGCGAAAUUCCUUGUCGGGUAAGUUCCGACCUGCACGAAUGGCGUAAUGAUGGCCAGGCUGUCUCCACCCGAGACUCAGUGAAAUUGAACUCGCUGUGAAGAUGCAGUGUACCCGCGGCAAGACGGAAAGACCCCGUGAACCUUUACUAUAGCUUGACACUGAACAUUGAGCCUUGAUGUGUAG
This 1450-nucleotide ribosomal RNA is filed under the name Salmonella enterica subsp. enterica serovar Thompson. Its description in RNAcentral is "partial 23S ribosomal RNA". It matches the Rfam family "Bacterial large subunit ribosomal RNA", at positions 711 to 2141 of the family's 2925-position model. Lineage: Bacteria; Pseudomonadati; Pseudomonadota; Gammaproteobacteria; Enterobacterales; Enterobacteriaceae. RNAcentral also lists the same sequence under 3 other names. The record is from RNAcentral.